RNAcentral lists this ribosomal RNA (397 nucleotides) under uncultured bacterium. RNAcentral's name for it is "partial 16S ribosomal RNA". It matches the Rfam family "Bacterial small subunit ribosomal RNA", at positions 523 to 918 of the family's 1533-position model. The record is from RNAcentral.
AUACGUAGGUGGCGAGCGUUGUCCGGAAUGAUUGGGCGUAAAGGGCGCGUAGGCGGCCUGUUAAGUCUGGAGUGAAAGUCCUGUUUUCAAGAUGGGAAUUGCUUUGGAUACUGAUGGGCUUGAGUGCAGGAGAGGUUAUCGGAAUUCCCGGUGUAGCGGUGAAAUGCGUAGAGAUCGGGAGGAACACCAGUGGCGAAGGCGGGUAACUGGACUGCAACUGACGCUGAGGCGCGAAAGUGUGGGGAGCAAACAGGAUUAGAUACCCUGGUAGUCCACACUGUAAACGAUGAAUGCUAGGUGUAAGAGGUAUCGACCCCUUUUGUGCCGGAGUUAACACAAUAAGCAUUCCGCCUGGGGAGUACGGCCGCAAGGUUGAAACUCAAAGGAAUUGACGGGG